This 653-nucleotide long non-coding RNA is filed under the name Homo sapiens (human). Its description in RNAcentral is "HSALNT0016103". The record is from RNAcentral. Lineage: Eukaryota; Metazoa; Chordata; Mammalia; Primates; Hominidae.
AAUUCAGCUUCUGAAAAAUACGGUCUUCCUCACUGCAGACACCAUGCCAGCGUUUUAAAUCAAGUUGGCUACUCGUGCUGUUUAGAGUAUGCAGUUUGCCUGUGGCAAUAUUAAACUCAUCUGGAAGAAAGCACUUAAACCUAUCCAGUUCCUCAUCGGUGAUGUUAUCCAGGCUGGUUAGCAAGAGUAUCUCCUUAUAUUUACUCUCCAUCUCACGACUUUUCAGCUUAUAAGGGAUCCAAACUAUGUAAGAUUAUACCACCAAAAGUGAUUCAACAUUCAAAAUGAAGCAAGAGAAAAAUACACUGCUGAGCAGAGGAUUAAACAGACUCCUCACACUACCGGAAGUUCAGUGCAUUUUCCAGGAUUUUCAAGUCUUCGAUGCUGUCAUGUUGAGAGUCCACUAUCCACGUUUGUUUAUCCAGGAAUAAUGCAGAAAAUCUGAGCAUUCGUGAAUCUAAUCAUUGAGAUACUUCAUUUUCUUAGCGUUUCUGGAGAUUACAACAUCCUGCGGUUCCGUUUCUGGGAACUUUACUGAUUUAUCUCCCCCCUCACACAAAUAAGCAUUGAUUCCUGCAUUUCUGAAGAUCUCAAGAUCUGGACUACUGUUGAAAAAAUUUCCAGUGAGGCUCACUUAUGUCUGUAAAGAUGGG